CCUACGGGUGGCUGCAGUGGGGAAUUUUGCGCAAUGGGGGAAACCCUGACGCAGCGACGCCGCGUGGAGGAUGACGGCCUUCGGGUUGUAAACUCCUGUCAGAAGGGACGAAAUCCCGCAAGGGACUGACGGUACCUUCAGAGGAAGCCCCGGCUAACUACGUGCCAGCAGCCGCGGUAAUACGUAGGGGGCAAGCGUUGCUCGGAAUUACUGGGCGUAAAGGGUGAGUAGGCGGUCGGGCAAGUCAAGGAUGAAAUCCCGAGGCUCAACUUCGGAAUUGUUCUUGAAACUGCUCGGCUUGAGGGUAGUUGAGGAGAGUGGAAUUCCCGGUGGAGCGGUGAAAUGCGUAGAUAUCGGGAGGAACACCUGAGGCGAAGGCGGCUCUCUAAGCUACUCCUGACGCUGAAUCACGAAAGCUAGGGGAGCAAACGGGAUUAGAUACCCGAGUAGUC
RNAcentral lists this ribosomal RNA (452 nucleotides) under uncultured bacterium. RNAcentral's name for it is "bacterial SSU rRNA". It matches the Rfam family "Bacterial small subunit ribosomal RNA", at positions 338 to 795 of the family's 1533-position model. The record is from RNAcentral.